Molecule: transfer RNA, 86 nt
Filed under: Micrococcus luteus
Lineage: Bacteria; Bacillati; Actinomycetota; Actinomycetes; Micrococcales; Micrococcaceae
Description: tRNA-Tyr
Rfam family: tRNA
About the family: Transfer RNA (tRNA) molecules are approximately 80 nucleotides in length.
Source: RNAcentral
GGCAGAUUUCCCGAGCGGCCAAAGGGGGGCUGACUGUAAAUCAGCUGGCACUGCCUUCACUGGUUCGAAUCCAGUAUCUGCCACCG